This 76-nucleotide transfer RNA is filed under the name Chloroflexota bacterium. Its description in RNAcentral is "Chloroflexi bacterium tRNA-Ala". It matches the Rfam family "tRNA". From Rfam's summary of the family: Transfer RNA (tRNA) molecules are approximately 80 nucleotides in length. Their secondary structure includes four short double-helical elements and three loops (D, anti-codon, and T loops). Further hydrogen bonds mediate the characteristic L-shaped molecular structure. tRNAs have two regions of fundamental functional importance: the anti-codon, which is responsible for specific mRNA codon recognition, and the 3' end, to which the tRNAs corresponding amino acid is attached (by aminoacyl-tRNA synthetases). tRNAs cope with the degeneracy of the genetic code in two manners: having more than one tRNA (with a specific anti-codon) for a particular amino acid; and 'wobble' base-pairing, i.e. permitting non-standard base-pairing at the 3rd anti-codon position. RNAcentral also lists the same sequence under 2 other names. The record is from RNAcentral. Lineage: Bacteria; Bacillati; Chloroflexota.
GGGGCUGUAGCUCAGUUGGGAGAGCGCAUCGUUCGCAAUGAUGAGGUCGGGGGUUCGAAUCCCCCCAGCUCCACCA